CACAGAGUAAACAGCAUCCUAAAACGCUAACAAUCAAAAGAUCUUAUAUAGGGCUAAUCCCUUCAAGUCAUUGGUGGAAUAGUGGGUGUCUUCUUAUCUUCCAAUUCUAAUUCGUCUAAAUUUUCUCUCCCCAGGUGUAGCCGCUUUACCGGAAUGAAAUGCCGGGUCCGUUCAACACAUUUAGCCACUUCCGCGUACGUCAUACGUUGCGCGUGCGUCACGUGGUAAAAUGUUCGUCACAUGACCUUUAUGCGUUCCACGCUCGGAAGAAAAACAUGGCCGUGCGUUCCAUAGCAUAAUAGACUGAAAAGUCAAUUUUCUUAUACCUGGUGGUGAUAUG
Molecule: non-coding RNA, 340 nt
Organism: Pelobates cultripes (western spadefoot toad)
Lineage: Eukaryota; Metazoa; Chordata; Amphibia; Anura; Pelobatidae
Source: the annotation of a GenBank genome assembly